GGAUCAUUACACAAUAAAAUACGAAGGCCGUUCGCGGCUGGACUAUUUAUUACCCUUGUCUUUUGCGCACUUGUUGUUUCCUGGGCGGGUUCGCUCGCCACCAGGACCACAAUAUAAACCUUUUUUAUGCAGUUGCAAUCAGCGUCAGUAUAACAAAUGUAAAUCAUUUACAACUUUCAACAACGGAUCUCAUGGUUCUGGCAUCGAUGAAGAACGCAGCGAAAUGCGAUACGUAGUGUGAAUUGCAGAAUUCAGUGAAUCAUCGAAUCUUUGAACGCACAUUGCGCCCUUUGGUAUUCCAAAGGGCAUGCCUGUUCGAGCGUCAUUUGUACCCUCAAGCUUUGCUUGGUGUUGGGCGUUUUUGUCUUUGGCCCGCCAAAGACUCGCCUUAAAAUGAUUGGCAGCCGGCCUACUGGUUUCGCAGCGCAGCACAUUUUUGCGCUUGCAAUCAGCAAAAGAGGACGGCAAUCCAUCAAGACUCCUUCUCACGUUUGACCUCGGAUCAGGUAGGGAUACCCGCUGAACUUAAGCAUAUCAAUAAGCGGAGGAAAAGAAACCAACAGGGAUUGCCCUAGUAACGGCGAGUGAAGCGGCAACAGCUCAAAUUUGAAAUCUGGCUCUUUCAGAGUCCGAGUUGUAAUUUGCAGAGGGCGCUUUGGCUUUGGCAGCGGUCCAAGUUCCUUGGAACAGGACGUCACAGAGGGUGAGAAUCCCGUACGUGGUCGCUAGCUAUUGCCGUGUAAAGCCCCUUCGACGAGUCGAGUUGUUUGGGAAUGCAGCUCUAAAUGGGAGGUAAAUUUCUUCUAAAGCUAAAUAUUGGCCAGAGACCGAUAGCGCACAAGUAGAGUGAUCGAAAGAUGA
RNAcentral lists this small RNA (861 nucleotides) under Curvularia spicifera. RNAcentral describes it as "eukaryotic LSU rRNA". The stretch from base 493 to 861 matches the Rfam family "Eukaryotic large subunit ribosomal RNA", at positions 1 to 367 of the family's 3401-position model. The record is from RNAcentral. Lineage: Eukaryota; Fungi; Ascomycota; Dothideomycetes; Pleosporales; Pleosporaceae.